Molecule: non-coding RNA, 73 nt
Organism: Symsagittifera roscoffensis
Lineage: Eukaryota; Metazoa; Xenacoelomorpha; Acoela; Convolutidae
Source: the annotation of a RefSeq genome assembly
GCGACCAUGGCGCAGUCGUCAGCGCGUAAGUCUCAUAAUCUUAAGGUCGUGAGCUCGAGCCUCACUGGUCGCA